RNAcentral lists this ribosomal RNA (505 nucleotides) under uncultured bacterium. RNAcentral describes it as "bacterial SSU rRNA". It matches the Rfam family "Bacterial small subunit ribosomal RNA", at positions 832 to 1340 of the family's 1533-position model. The record is from RNAcentral.
AUAUAGUGUCAGCGGCCAAGCGAGAGCGUUAAGCAACCCACCUGGGGAGUACGCCGGCAACGGUGAAACUCAAAGGAAUUGACGGGGGCCCGCACAAGCGGAGGAACAUGUGGUUUAAAUUCAAUGAUACGCGAGGAACCUUACCCGGGCUUGAACUGCAAGCGAACGAUACAGAGAUGUUGAGGCCCUUCGGGGCGCUGGUGGAGGUGCUGCAUGGUUGUCGUCAGCUCGUGCCGUGAGGUGUCGGCUUAAGUGCCAUAACGAGCGCAACCCCUGUCCGUAGUUGCCAUCAGGUAGUGCUGGGCACUCUGCGGAUACUGCCCCGUAAGGUGUGAGGAAGGUGGGGAUGACGUCAAAUCAGCACGGCCCUUACGUCCGGGGCUACACACGUGUUACAAUGGGGAGUACAGAGAAUCGGUCGUCAGCAAUUGCGAUCCAAUCCUUAAAGCUCUCCUCAGUUCGGAUUGGGGUCUGAACCCGACCCCAUGAAGCUGGAUCGCUAGUA